RNAcentral lists this ribosomal RNA (82 nucleotides) under Acinetobacter sp. SFA. Its description in RNAcentral is "partial 23S ribosomal RNA". Lineage: Bacteria; Pseudomonadati; Pseudomonadota; Gammaproteobacteria; Moraxellales; Moraxellaceae. The record is from RNAcentral.
UGGAUGUGGAAGUGCAGUGAUGCAUGAAGCUGACCAAUACUAAUUGCUCGUGAGGCUUGACUAUACAACACCCAAACAGUUG